RNAcentral lists this ribosomal RNA (253 nucleotides) under uncultured bacterium. RNAcentral describes it as "partial 16S ribosomal RNA". It matches the Rfam family "Bacterial small subunit ribosomal RNA", at positions 524 to 776 of the family's 1533-position model. The record is from RNAcentral.
UACGGAGGAUGCAAGCGUUAUCCGGAAUUAUUGGGCGUAAAGCGUCCGCAGGUGGUUAUCCAAGUCUGCUGUUAAAGCGCGAGGCUUAACUUCGUACAGGCAGUGGAAACUGGGUGACUGGAGUAUGGUAGGGGUAGCGGGAAUUCCCAGUGUAGCGGUGAAAUGCGUAGAUAUUGGGAAGAACACCAGCGGCGAAAGCGCGCUACUGGGCCAUUACUGACACUCAUGGACGAAAGCUAGGGGAGCAAAAGGG